This 253-nucleotide ribosomal RNA is filed under the name uncultured bacterium. RNAcentral's name for it is "partial 16S ribosomal RNA". It matches the Rfam family "Bacterial small subunit ribosomal RNA", at positions 524 to 776 of the family's 1533-position model. The record is from RNAcentral.
UACGAGGGGGGCAAAUGUUGUUCGGAAUCACUGGGCGUAAAGGGAGCGUAGGCGGGGGUUUAAGACAGGUGUGAAAUCCCCGGGCUUAACCUGGGAAUUGCAUUUGUGACUGCACGGCUAGAGUGUGUCAGAGGGGGGUAGAAUUCCACGCGUAGCAGUGAAAUGCGUAGAUAUGCGGAGGAACACCGAUGGCGAAGGCAAUCCCCUGGGCCUGCACUGACGCUCAUGCACGAAAGCGUGGGGAGCAAACAGG